This 60-nucleotide transfer RNA is filed under the name Breviscolex orientalis. Its description in RNAcentral is "tRNA-Lys". The record is from RNAcentral. Lineage: Eukaryota; Metazoa; Platyhelminthes; Cestoda; Caryophyllidea; Capingentidae.
UUCCGUGUAUUUAUUUAAGGGCUGGGUUCUUACUCCAGUGAAGUGUUUACACCUCGGAGG